Long non-coding RNA from Rhineura floridana, 945 nucleotides. RefSeq lists it as uncharacterized. The record is from RefSeq and is a predicted model, not a curated record. NCBI's taxonomy places the organism in Eukaryota, Metazoa, Chordata, Lepidosauria, Squamata, Rhineuridae. The transcript has 3 exons.
UGGCGGCGUAAGAGCUCGCUGUGGCUUGAGCUCCGCUACUGUUUGUUUGUUUUUUUAACAUCUUUAACAUCUUUUAGCAGCGUUUUCGGGACUUUCCAACUUGCAGAUAUUUGCACAAGAGAUAGGCAGCAAGAACGCCAAGAGUAAAUAGAAGAACGACGCAGACAAGAGCGAGUGUGUGAACUCACCAUCAGACACCGAGUCUCCUGCCGUUGAGGUCGGGUGAGAGACAUUUCCUCUUGGCACUGAAGGCGGGUUUUACAGAGUCAUUUAUUUCACUCACGUUAAGUUUCUGUUCUCGGAGCUCGGAGGAGGGCCUUCGAUGAAGAACACAGUGUCCAGGCAGAUACUUGUGUACAUUGAGUCUUGCAAGGAAAGUGCAUGAAAUUUUGCAUGGUAUGGAGAAAAUGGAUAGAGAAAAGUUUUUCUCCCUCUCUUGUAACACUAGAACUCUUGGACAUCCAGUGAAGUUGAAUGGUGGAAAAUUCAAGACAAAGACAAAAUAAAAUACUCCACACACCGUACAAAUUAUGGAAUUUGCUCCACAGUCAGAAGCAGUAUACUUCCGAAUGUAUGUACUGCCUUCAAGUCAAUUCCGACCUAUGGCAACCCUAUGAAUAGGGUUUUCGUGAGGCUGAGAGGCAGCGACUGGCCCAAGGUCACCCAGUGAGCUUCAUGGCUAUCUGGGGAUUCAAACCCUGAUCUCCCAGGUCAUAGUCAAACACCUUAAUCACUAUACCACACAGGCUCUAGUUGCUGGAUAUUGCACAUCCAGAGAGAGCUGUUGCACUCAGGUCCUGCUUAUGGGUUUAGGCAUCUGAUUGGCUAGGAUGCUGGUCUAGAUGGGCCACUGGCUCUUAUGUGUGUUAAGAAUAUAUUCAAUAAAUAAUAGUGACAUCACUGGAGUCUUUUGGUUCUUGAAUAUGUAUUCUUUUUACUGAAAAA